UCCACGAGUUCUGCUUGGGGAGCUGCCCCAGGGGCUCCCCCUGCUCUCCCCAGCAACGGUCCCUCCGAGCUCCCUGCCGAGCUCCGGGACCUUCCUGCUUUGCAGUAUCUCGCCAGCGGGCUGGAGCAGCGCGGGACUGAGCGGGAAGGGAUCUGCGGAUUCCUUCCUGCAGACAUCAAAAAAACAAUAAAGGCGGCAGCCCGGAAGAGCUGCUUUGCUUGCGGCGAGCGUGGCGCUGCAAUCGACUGCCAGGGGAAGGAUUGCAGCCGCAGCUUCCACCUCCCCUGCGCCUCCAGCAACGGCUGCGUCACGCAGUUUUUCAAGGCCUACAGGUCCUUCUGCUCGGAGCACCGCCCGGAGCAGGCGGUGCCGGUACGCCCAGACGAAGAAACCACCUGCAUCAUUUGCAUGGAGCGGGUGGACGAAAAGCUAUCGUUCGGCACUCUGG
This is a long non-coding RNA of Dromaius novaehollandiae (emu), 448 nucleotides long. RefSeq lists it as uncharacterized. The transcript has 3 exons. The record is from RefSeq and is a predicted model, not a curated record. Lineage: Eukaryota; Metazoa; Chordata; Aves; Casuariiformes; Dromaiidae.